AAAGAACCCCGGCGAGGGGAGUGAAAAAGAACCUGAAACCGUGUACGUACAAGCAGUGGGAGCACAGGUUUACCUGUGUGACUGCGUACCUUUUGUAUAAUGGGUCAGCGACUUAUAUUCUGUAGCAAGGUUAACCGUAUAGGGGAGCCGUAGGGAAACCGAGUCUUAACCGGGCGUUAAGUUGCAGGGUAUAGACCCGAAACCCGGUGAUCUAGCCAUGGGCAGGUUGAAGGUUGGGUAACACUAACUGGAGGACCGAACCGACUAAUGUUGAAAAAUUAGCGGAUGACCUGUGGCUGGGGGUGAAAGGCCAAUCAAACCGGGAGAUAGCUGGUUCUCCCCGAAAGCUAUUUAGGUAGCGCCUCGUGAAUUCAUCUCCGGGGGUAGAGCACUGUUUCGGCUAGGGGGCCAUCCCGGCUUACCAACCCGAUGCAAACUGCGAAUACCGGAGAAUGUUAUCACGGGAGACACACGGCGGGUGCUAACGUCCGUCGUGAAGAGGGAAACAACCCAGACCGCCAGCUAAGGUCCCAAAGUCAUGGUUAAGUGGGAAACGAUGUGGGAAGGCCCAGACAGCCAGGAUGUUGGCUUAGAAGCAGCCAUCAUUUAAAGAAAGCGUAAUAGCUCACUGGUCGAGUCGGCCUGCGCGGAAGAUGUAACGGGGCUAAACCAUGCACCGAAGCUGCGGCAGCGAACGUAUCACCCAAGACAACUUUACGGAGUUGACGAUUGACGGAGCGAAGCGACGUCAAAGCGUUCAUUAAAGUCGAGUUGGCUUAGGGAUACGUUCGUUGGGUAGGGGAGCGUUCUGUAAGCCUGUGAAGGUGUGUCGUGAGGCAUGCUGGAGGUAUCAGAAGUGCGAAUGCUGACAUAAGUAACGAUAAAGCGGGUGAAAAGCCCGCUCGCCGGAAGACCAAGGGUUCCUGUCCAACGUUAAUCGGGGCAGGGUGAGUCGACCCCUAAGGCGAGGCCGAAAGGCGUAGUCGAUGGGAAACGGGUUAAUAUUCCCGUACUUGGUGUUACUGCGAAGGGGGGACGGAGAAGGCUAUGUUGGCCGGGCGACGGUUGUCCCGGUUUAAGCGUGUAGGUGUGUGUUCCAGGUAAAUCCGGUUCACUUUAACACUGAGGCGUGACGACGAGGCACUACGGUGCUGAAGCAACAAAUGCCCUGCUUCCAGGAAAAGCCUCUAAGCAU
This 1195-nucleotide ribosomal RNA is filed under the name Salmonella enterica. RNAcentral's name for it is "partial 23S ribosomal RNA". It matches the Rfam family "Bacterial large subunit ribosomal RNA", at positions 518 to 1629 of the family's 2925-position model. The record is from RNAcentral. Lineage: Bacteria; Pseudomonadati; Pseudomonadota; Gammaproteobacteria; Enterobacterales; Enterobacteriaceae.